ACUUCUGCUACAGCCCUGUCUUUUUACUGGUUCCCGUUAUGGUGAGAAUCAAGCACAAUGAGCAAGCUCACUUUAUUUGCAGGUCGGUUUUUGGAGCUGUGCCAGUUG
Esox lucius (northern pike) is the source of this 108-nucleotide long non-coding RNA. RefSeq lists it as uncharacterized. The transcript is spliced from 3 exons. Lineage: Eukaryota; Metazoa; Chordata; Actinopteri; Esociformes; Esocidae. The record is from RefSeq and is a predicted model, not a curated record.